Non-coding RNA from Bactrocera oleae (olive fruit fly), 7250 nucleotides. NCBI's taxonomy places the organism in Eukaryota, Metazoa, Arthropoda, Insecta, Diptera, Tephritidae. The record is from RefSeq and is a predicted model, not a curated record.
CAGUACACUUUGAACAACGCGUUAAAACGGUUUGGUUGAUUUUAGUUGUCGCAUGGAAUUAUUAGUGACGACGCUUUUCAUUAACUAUUUACCAAAAUAAAUAAAAUAGUUUUUGGCACUUUGGCGGAAAAGAAUCGGCAAAGUGUUUUUGAAAAACAUAAAAAUUUAAAGAACGCCGCAUAGCCACAGCAGGUGUACAAAUAGUAAUAAAUAAAACAGAGCAGUGAAAACCUAAAAACUAACAGACACCAGUCACCUGUAAAAAAAAAAUAGUUUAAUUACAUAUAAUUAUUAAGCCUCUCAACUCGCCUCAGCUCAGCGCCUUUGAUUUGGUGCUGAUUUCUUGUAUAUUUUGCCGCCUUCGAAUCAUCGACGGUUAGUGCCCUGCAGCACCUGCAGACCACCUCGGCGGCAGCUGCCAGCGUCAUGGGCAGCGUUUGGAAGCGUUUGCAGCGCGUCAAUAAACGGGCCGCCAAAUUUCAAUUUACCUCAUCCUAUCAUGAACUGCGCCUAGAAACGACUGCCAAAUGGCGCCCUUCAAAUCUGUCCGUUGUUUGGACUCGUCGUUCACGCCGCGUAGUUUCGAUGCCGUUGGCCUGGGAGCCGGAUAUGGUGAAUCCGCUGGUGGGCCACAUAUCCUGGCCAGUGCCAGAUAACCAUUCUAUUUCGGUGACACUUUUUAAGGAUCCACGCACCCACGAACUAGAAGAUAAGGACUGGACAUUUGUCAUUGAAGAUAUAACACAUCUCGGCAAAAAGCGGGUCCUGGCCUCGGCUAGCAUAAAUAUGCGCAAAUACGCGAGUAUCGAGUCGACACAGCAGAGCUUUACGCUCAGCCUAAAGCCGACCUCACGGAAGAUUACCGCCGCCGAACUGGAAUUGACAAUCAGUUGUGUGUUCUUGCGUGAAGGCAAGGCGACUGAUGAGGAUAUGCAGAGCGUCGUCUCUCUGAUGUCCGUCAAUAAUAAUUCUGAUGUUGCUCCACUGGACGACUUAGAGGAUAUACCCGAUCUGGAGAGUUCGGGUGAUAUUUCGGAUCAUUUGUUUGAUUUCACCCAACAGUUGGAGCAGAUGACGACUAGUUUGAACGGUUGCAUGGAUCUGCCAACGCCAUUGAGUGAGAAACAAUUUGGAUUCGACACUAGUGACGAGCUACUCAAGACGCCGAGCGCCGCUCAACCACAAGCGCAACCGCAGCCCGAACAGCAUACAAUAAAAAAGGAAAGUGCUGUCGCUGAUCAGGAGUCCAAGAGUUCGGCACCUGCACUGACACCUGCCAAGUCUUUAGAAGCCAGCGUGCUGCCGAUCAACCUAAAGAGCAAAAUUAUUACAUCCACUCCAAUCGCCACUUUCGCGAAGGGGACCGAUUGCAAACCGUGCGAGCCGAGUGAUACUGGCGCGCGUCGUGAACUCAACUUUCAAACUAACAAAAGUAACAACAUUGACGUGUCAUUUGCGCAGCAAAAUGGCGACAACAAAAAAGUGGUGCCCAGCGUUGCUGCCGUUGCUGUCUGUGAGGACGCGAGACCGAUGGAUGCCAAACCUGAACAGAAAUCAGCCAAAAUUAGCAACAGCAAGUCUACAACACUCAGCUCAUUACUAUCUAUGUCGGCUUCAACGCCGAAUAAGACAGCUGAUAAUGAAAAUAUGAAGGAAAAGUCCGUUACUGCAGGCAGCGGUAGCGUGCCACCGCCAAAACCCGUGCGCAGUGAGUCCAAACGCGCCGAAUUGCCACCGCUUAAUUUAAAGAAGAGCUACGAGCAUGACAACAACAGCAAUAGCAGCAUAAGCAAUAAUACGACUACCAGCAUCAGCAAUACGAACAACAAUCAUUUGAGCAGCAUUAACAGUAAUAACAGUUUACAACUGAAUGGCUCUGCCAAACCGGUGGAGAAGAUCGUGUUAAAAGAGAAUACUCCGGGGCAGGACUUGCUGGAGUGGUGCAAGGAUGUUACGAAGGACUAUCCAAAUGUAAAGGUGACUAAUUUGACGACCAGCUGGCGCAACGGCAUGGCAUUCUGUGCGAUCAUUCACCACUUUGAACCCGACCUAAUCGACAUGUCAAAACUCUCCGCACACGACGUUGUAGGCAAUUGUCGCUCCGCCUUCGACGUCGCCGAAUCGUUGGGCAUUCCUCGCGUGAUUGAACCGCGUGACAUGAGUUUGCUGGCUGUGCCAGAUAAAUUGGCUGUGAUGACGUAUCUACAUCAGCUGCGUGCGCAUUUCACCGGCAAACAAUUGCAAAUUGAGCAAAUUGGACCCACAUCCGACGAGUCGAGUUAUGUGAUUGGCAAUUACAAGUCGGACAACCUCUCGCAGAAUCUACUCAAUUUAAGCCACUUGAAAGCUCAACUAUUGCACCAGAACUCACUAGAUGACGACAUAUUCGGUGUAGAGACGAAAAUUAGCUCGGGGCCCGCACAGCCAUCGCCGACAGCGAAGAAAGAUGUAAAGAACUUAAUACUCUCUGGCUCGAAGAAUAUUUUGGGCAAGGUGCUUUCACCCAGCAAAGAUAAGAACUCGAUCAAUGCAUCGCAACAUGGCCAAGUGGGUAACCAGACACCGCCUGCCGAAGGUAAGGAAAGCACCAAUGCUGGCGAUGCCAAUGGCGACCUAAAUUUGUGUGCUACGACUGUUGAGUCGAAUCCGGUGCAAUCCGAUAAACAACAGAUGGCGCCCCAUUCACCCACAGCAUUGGAUCCUAAUGCGGCGAAUCGCAUUUUGUCACGUCACAAGGAAAUGAGCGAAAAGGCCAAGCUAAUGAUUGAAAAGCUGAAAGUUUCCAAUGGCGUGGAGCGUGGCGAGAACGACGAGGAACGUAAGCAACGUUUGCGUGAGCAGGCGCGUCGCCUCAUUCUCGAGACCCGAACCAAAUCAGUGAACGGUGGCAGCGGUGGCGGCAACUUGGACAGCCCGACCACGCCGACCAAACUGAAACGCAUGAACUUCUCACCCGAGCGCACCAUUUCACCCAUCCCCAAUGGCAUCGAGGACUAUGGUAUGCCAAGCACGGGCAGCAAUUCACCAACCAAGUUGCCGAUGUCGCCGUCGAAGAAGAUUACGCCGCCGCGCGAUGUGGAUACGCUUUCGACAACCACAAAUAGUAAUAGUAAACUGAUGAGUCCUAGUCAUAGAUUAAGCGAACGCUUCAGCAAUGGCACAAACAACAGCGGUAGUAAUAGUCCUCUGCAGUCGUUCAAUGCCGUCAUGGAGCGCAUUUCACCAAAGAACGACAAGAAGGGCGACAAACGCUCCUACAUCGAAUCGGAACUGGAGGCACUCGAGCGCGAACAGGAGGCCAUCGAUCAGAAGGCCAGCUGUCUAGAGAAGAAACUACGCGCUGUCAUGGGCGGUAAUCCAAGUAAUAAUCGUUCACAACGUAACCCUUUUAUUAGAUUAAUACGCAAUAGUAUUGGUGGUGGUGAUAGUAUACGUAUUAAAUUGCUUGACAUGGAUAGCGAUGGCCAGUUUUCAUUAUCGCCUUCGGGCGAAGACACUUCGCCGUGCACAUCAUCGGGCUCCGUGACACCCUCAUCCUUGUCCAGCGAUGAGGAGACGUCAGUACGCGCAGCUGAUGUGCGUUCGGCAUUAGCGGUGAACGGUGCUGAUGUUGAGAAUGUAGUGCGUCGGCGACGCAAACGGCGACAUCAACACCGCCAUCGCGCGCCUACGACGGAGCAUGCUAAUCAACAUCAGCAACGAACGCCACACAGCCGUCCACGCUCACAAUCAUGUAUUGUCGAUGCGAAUGAGAAUCAUAGAAAUCAUGCGCAUCCGCAACAGUCGCACAAUAGAUUUAUAAGUAACCGAAAUUUCGCAAACGCUUUUGCGCCGUUCAAUUUUAUAUUCUCCUCCUCCAAUACGAACACAACUACAACCAGAGCUUCCUCAAAUCAUUCCUCCUGUGAUAAUCUGCCAAAGGUGCACUUACACUUGCCAUGUGAUGCUGAGGGCGACAUUGACGAUGAACCGCGGCGAAUCCGUUGCCGAACCGAGGAGCCGCCUAGCGGCCGAAGACGAUCACGAAGCCGCUGCCAGUGCCAUUGUCGCACUGGUGGCGACUGCGGUGGUGGUAAACAAUAAUUUUUGCAUUACGCCUAACGUCUUAACGCCUGUAGUUACUCUUACAAACACAGUUACAAUUAUAAUUACUGCUUAACCACUACUACAAGCGGCAAAAUAUAUUGCAACAAAAAGGACUCUUUGAAAGCAAGACCGCACAUAAAUGUAAAAUUGCCACAGGCAUGCGUGCUACGCUUACUCGCUUACAAAAAAUACACUUUUAACGCGCUGGAGCGCUCUUUCAUUUAAGUACAUUAAUGGGCUGCUAUUUGCUGCAACGCUGCGGAUGUUGUGCUGACAUUUAACUGUUUGGAAGUUCACCGCGAUCACUGUCCAUAUUUCACCAUUUGACUCGCUUAGCUUCAAUGCUUAACCACGCAAACGCGAGUUGUAACGCAAACGCUGCUAGGCAAAGCAAAUUUGAAUAAACGCUACUUGCUUACUUUUGCCGCUGUUGCGCUUCUGCAAGCUGUAAUUAACACACUGUUGGCGUCCAUUUACUUUUGCAUAAAACGCAUUAAUCGCUUGUGCGAGCGGUUGCAGCGCUGCCGAUGCUCUAACAUUUUAAUCGUAACUCUCAUGCUCGUAUUUUAACUGUUUUUAACACAAUUCAUAACUUCGUAAAAUUCGUACAAUUAUUAGACCUAGCAAAGCUUGUUGGUUUGUGGCAUGCCGCGCAACUUGUGUGCAGACAAAUUUAAAUUUAUCCAAAGACUUAAAUUGGCCAAAAUAAUCAAAAUAAAAUGAACUGCUGCACACCAGUGCGCGCGCCAGCUAAAUUAUAACACAUAGCUAUAUUUGAUUCUUGAUGCGCUACUCACCACAUACUAAACUCACCUCUUGGAUUCAGAUUUUUACGAUGUAAAAAUUGCGAAAACCCGAUUAACGCAAUCUGAAUCACAUAAAUCGUUUAAAUCUGAGUCCUUUUUGUAAAUUUUUUCAAUAGCUCCGUUGCAUUAGUCCAGUAAUAUAUAUAUAUUAGCAUAAAUUUGAUUUCUUUUUGUAGUUGUUUAAAUGUUGACUCAAAAUCUUAUGCUUAUGAUUCAGUUAUGUAUUUGCCGUGCUAAUCUAGUGGCCAUUUAUUAAAGUUUCUUCUUAACUUCUCGCGCAGAAACCGAUGAGACGGAGGAGCAACUGUUGUCGCAGUGGUUUACGCUGGUUAACAAGAAAAACGCUCUGCUGCGCCGCCAAAUGCAGCUCAAUAUACUUGAGCAAGAAAGUGAUUUGGAGCGCAAAUACACGCUUCUAAAUCAGGAGCUGCGCGCCGCGCAGUCCGUGGAAGAUUGGCGAAAAACGGAAGCACAGCGUGAAAAGGAGCGACUGCUGCUCGAGGAGCUGGUUGCUAUUGUGGACAAACGUGAUGAGCUGGUGCAACAUUUGCAUAGUCAGGAAAUUGCUAUCGAGGACGACCACGAGAUCGCGCGCGAGUUGGAGCAAGUGGACAUCAGCGGGGACAAGGACAAAUGCGUCAUACAAUAAAAGCACAUCGGCAUGCUACGUCCACUGCUGCUGCACCGAGUCGAGAGUAUUGUAUGGCAGAGCUGGUGCGAACAAUGACGCAACGACACAGAAAAAGUGAAAUUAAAUGUAGUUAGUGUUUGAUAAUUUUGGAAUACGAUCAAUAUGCAACUGACGUAUGCGUUUUCUACAACAGCGACCAUUAAGUAAACAUUCGCUUUACCUAUAACCAAUUGCAAUAUGUAUUUACUUACAUAUGUCGUUUGUAUGAAGUAAAAGAAGUAAACUAUUUUAAUUGCUAAAUUAAAGUAGCGGUGUGAACGCUUUUGUGCAAAACAUAAUUGAAUAGCUUAAAUAUGGGGCAUAGACAAACUUAAUUGCCAGCAAUUGCAAAUAUUCAGCGCUAAAUUAUAUUCAUUUGUAUGGAUGAAUGUGUGACCUCCGAAGCACAACUUCCUGUGCAUACCUUCGCUUGCAGGAAACAAAAUAUUCAACGACGACAAUUACGAAAUACGGAUUUGAUCAGUGUAAUAUUCUGUCGAAAAGUAGAAGAAAAUUAACUAAAUAUUUAACUCGAGUUGCAUAAAGACAAAAUACGAGGCCAGCCUAGAACACAGAAACGAUUCUAGAACAUGUGGCGUUGUAAUCUAAACAAUUCCCGCUUUUCAGCGCUGUUUUUUUUUAUCGCUGGCGAAUAUUUCAUUCAGAGAGUAAUGUCCGUCAAAAACGAAACUUUUACUUUGAGCAAAUAAUUUCUAUGUAGAAUGUGUAAAAUGUAUAAUGUUAAAUGCAACUCAAACACAAAUUUGAAAAACGUCCGUUAGUUUUGUAAGCAACAACUGAAACAAAAAAAAUUAAACAAAUGAAAAAUAUCGAAUAGUGCAUAUAAACCGUAAACCGUUAACUAUCCUUUUUACACAGCUUUCGUUUGACAAGCGCUUAUUGUGCCAUUUUUCUGUUCAACUCACUUAUUUUAACAGUUUAACGAUACUCAUUUUCACACCGAUAUUUUCAUUUGCAAUGCCUUUAUUUAAACACUACAACAUUUCACACCUGAUGUUUUGGAUUGAAAGCCUCGUUUGGGUGGCGAACUUAAUUGCUUCAACUUAAAUUAGCUUUAUCAAUUGCUUUAGUUGAGAUAUGUGUGUAUGUGUGUGUUUUCCGAACGCACCAUUGUAAACUAUUUUUAAUAUUUUUAAGUUGUAAUUAUGUUUUAAAUAAUGAAAAAAUAAUGAAAUUAGUUUAUAAUUUGACUAGUGUGAUCCUAACUGUAAACUGUACCUACCUAUUUAUAAUUAAACAUGAGAAAUAAAAUGUAGUUUAUAUGUAUUUGUAUAUUUAGUUUUGUUGAAACACUUUUAGUUUAUUUUUAAUAUAAUUUUAUUACUGCGUUGAGUUUUUUAUCUUAAACAAAUGGUGACUACUCAGUUUUACUACUCUCCCCCAUCGCCGCCAGUUUGCUUUUACCGAGUUUCUUUGGUUUUCAUAAGAAACUGCCGCGAAAGGCUGUCUUGGCGUUGAAUCUUAACAUGGGUACUUAGGAAAUUAACAUUUAUAUAAUAAUAUUGAACUAGAAACGACCCUACGAGCAGAAAUUGUAUUACAUGUAAGUCAGAUAUAUAUAAUUAAUAUAAAAAUACAAACAUAAAUAUAUGAAUGAUUUAAAUGUAACAUAAUCAACUAAAGAAUAUAUGUAUAUGAAUAAAUAUGAAUGAAAUGAAUAUGGAAAA